GAACUUAGUCUGACAGCUCAGCUUUACCUGCAUCAUGCAACUGUACAAUUAACAUAUUAAGUUUACAGUAUUAGUAGUGCAGGGCUAAGAAUGCAUGAAUAAAUAAUUCAUCUGCAUUACAUUAGUCCUAAUAAUUUAUAUUAAUUGGUCUUGCACUCACCCCUCAAGAAUAACAUUAGAAUAAUGUCAUUUUCUAAAAGCCACUCCAUGUGGUGCUUUACAGUGACUUUGGAAAAGCUGAGAGGUUGUAGCUGCGCCCCUUAGCGUCUCUAAACUAAGCACAGCCUCUCAUCGCUUAUGGAUUAUAUCGAAUACAACCUUUCACCGCAAACAGCGGACGAGGAGCCGCGUGGAGUGGGAGGUACAGUAUGGGAAAGUCAGUGAGUUAACAGGAUGUUUGUCUCGCAAGAGGCCCUCAACUUGUGUAAUCUCGCUGUGUUUUGGGCGAGUUGAAAGGUUCAUCAGAGCUCAUGCCUGUGGUAAAGAGUCGCUAUAGCAACACUCACAUUGUUCUUUGUCUUUAUCUUUUAUUUUAUUUUAUCAUUGAGAAAAUAUGAGCUUCCUUCACUGUGUGUGUGUGUGUGUGUGUGUGUGUGUGUGUGUGUGUGUGUGUGUGUGUGUGUGUGUGUGUGUGUGUGUGUGUGUUAUGAGAGAGUGACGGCUUAGCCAAGUUGACAGGCUGGCACAGGGGGCAGGCAGGACAGCGACUGAACACGCUCAGAUCUGGGGAGAGGUGUCAGUCCUGCAGGCAGCCAAGCAGAAACACACAGGAGCACUUAGGAACAGGGUCACACCUGUCAUCCCUGUCCACAAUCCCUGUUCGUCCGUCGUUACCCAGAAGCCCCGGAGAGAGCGAGGCCAGACUGAUGAACGAGCGAACACUGGCGAGCGCCCAAUGAGGCGAUCUCUGAGCCGCCUCCCACAUCCCAGCACAGACAGAAGGACAAUGAAGAAAGAAACUAAAACACCAAAUAUGUCACAUCCCGGACUUUUAGAGAUGUGAGCAGUGUUUCCCCUCCUCCACUUUUUUUUCUAUUUUGAUUUAAGAGCUGAGCCACUUUACUGGAGAUAUGGGGGGCUGGGAGAAAAUAACAAGGGCUAGCAAGAGAUUAGGCCUUCAGCCAUGUGGCUAUUACUGGAGCAGAUCCUCUAUGAUCACAUCCACUGAAACA
RNAcentral lists this long non-coding RNA (1172 nucleotides) under Betta splendens (Siamese fighting fish). Its description in RNAcentral is "lncRNA (ENSBSLG00000015407.1)". Lineage: Eukaryota; Metazoa; Chordata; Actinopteri; Anabantiformes; Osphronemidae. The record is from RNAcentral.